Pezoporus flaviventris is the source of this 302-nucleotide long non-coding RNA. RefSeq lists it as uncharacterized. The transcript is spliced from 3 exons. The record is from RefSeq and is a predicted model, not a curated record. NCBI's taxonomy places the organism in Eukaryota, Metazoa, Chordata, Aves, Psittaciformes, Psittacidae.
AAUCCUUCUGACCUUCCAUCUCUCUUGCCUUGUGUUGAAGCUGGGGGAGAUAAAGCCUUCUUGAAACUUGCCAGGUAGAGGGGGAAUGUCCUGGCUUAGAUGGGGAAAGAGAUAGCCAUAAAUUGCUGAACUUGCAUACAGGUUUUGAUUUACUUUAUCCUGGCCAAGACAAGAAGAAAUUGUGGACUGCAGGUGUCCUAGGAAACUGGCCAAGUGUUGGCCAUCCUGUGUAUCCAGAAAGGAGUGCUGUAAGGACUUCAUGUCUUAAGUGCCUGCUCACAUGCAUUUGGGAAACAUUUCUG